Molecule: small nuclear RNA, 294 nt
Filed under: Castor canadensis (American beaver)
Lineage: Eukaryota; Metazoa; Chordata; Mammalia; Rodentia; Castoridae
Description: 7SK RNA (ENSCCNG00000021783.1)
Rfam family: 7SK RNA
About the family: 7SK was discovered as an abundant small nuclear RNA in the mid-70s but a possible function has only recently been suggested. Two independent studies have found that 7SK RNA binds the CDK9/cyclin T complex (known as elongation factor P-TEFb). P-TEFb activates transcription by phosphorylating the C-terminal domain of RNA polymerase II.
Source: Rfam by way of RNAcentral
GGAUGUGAGGGUGAUCUGGCAGCGACAUCUGUCACCUCAUUGAUCACAGGGUUGAUUUGGGACAUCUGUCUGGGUCAGUGGGUGUCCCUUUUUCCCUCACUGCUCCAUGUGCCUCCCUGUAAAAGUUGUCUACUUGGUCAAAGAGGAUAACCUUCCUCAAGAGAGGAAUACCAUUCUUUGAGUUAUAUGAGUAGCUGUGCACCCCUGCUAGAACCUCCUAACAAGCUCUCCAAGUUCAAAAACUGUCCAAAUGCAAACCAGUAUUACAAUUGCUUCUUGAAUGUUAGUGUGCAU